RNAcentral lists this ribosomal RNA (260 nucleotides) under uncultured bacterium. RNAcentral describes it as "partial 16S ribosomal RNA". It matches the Rfam family "Bacterial small subunit ribosomal RNA", at positions 15 to 257 of the family's 1533-position model. The record is from RNAcentral.
GAUCCUGGCUCAGGAUGAACGCUGGCGGCGUGCUUAACACAUGCAAGUCGAACGGGAAACCUUUUAUUGAAGCUUCGGCAGAUUUAGCUGGUUUCUAGUGGCGGACGGGUGAGUAACGCGUGGGUAACCUGCCCUAUACAGGGGGGAUAACAACCAGAAAUGGUUGCUAAUACCGCAUAAGCGCACAGGACCGCAUGGUCCGGUGUGAAAAACUCCGGUGGUAUAGGAUGGACCCGCGUUGGAUUAGCCAGUUGGCAGGG